RNAcentral lists this ribosomal RNA (492 nucleotides) under uncultured bacterium. RNAcentral describes it as "partial 16S ribosomal RNA". It matches the Rfam family "Bacterial small subunit ribosomal RNA", at positions 29 to 507 of the family's 1533-position model. The record is from RNAcentral.
AGUGAACGCUGGCGGUAGGCCUAACACAUGCAAGUCGAACGGCAGCACAGUAAGAGCUUGCUCUUACGGGUGGCGAGUGGCGGACGGGUGAGGAAUACAUCGGAAUCUACUUUUUCGUGGGGGAUAACGUAGGGAAACUUACGCUAAUACCGCAUACGACCUACGGGUGAAAGCAGGGGAUCUUCGGACCUUGCGCGAUUGAAUGAGCCGAUGUCGGAUUAGCUAGUUGGCGGGGUAAAGGUCCACCAAGGCGACGAUCCGUAGCUGGUCUGAGAGGAUGAUCAGCCACACUGGAACUGAGACACGGUCCAGACUCCUACGGGAGGCAGCGGUGGGGAAUAUUGGACAAUGGGCGCAAGCCUGAUCCAGCCAUACCGCGUGGGUGAAGAAGGCCUUCGGGUUGUAAAGCCCUUUUGUUGGGAAAGAAAAGCAGCAGGUUAAUACCCCGCUGUUCUGACGGUACCCAAAGAAUAAGCACCGGCUAACUUCGUG